This 601-nucleotide ribosomal RNA is filed under the name uncultured bacterium. RNAcentral describes it as "bacterial SSU rRNA". It matches the Rfam family "Bacterial small subunit ribosomal RNA", at positions 245 to 835 of the family's 1533-position model. The record is from RNAcentral.
CUAGUUGGUGGGGUAAAGGCCCNCCANGGCNACGAUCCGUAACUGGUCUGAGAGGAUGAUCAGUCACACUGGAACUGAGACACGGUCCAGACUCCUACGGGAGGCAGCAGUGGGGAAUAUUGGACAAUGGGCGAAAGCCUGAUCCAGCCAUGCCGCGUGUGUGAAGAAGGUCUUCGGAUUGUAAAGCACUUUAAGUUGGGAGGAAGGGCUGUAAGUUAAUACCUUGCAGUUUUGACGUUACCGACAGAAUAAGCACCGGCUAACUUCGUGCCAGCAGCCGCGGUAAUACGAAGGGUGCAAGCGUUAAUCGGAAUUACUGGGCGUAAAGCGCGCGUAGGUGGUUUGGUAAGUUGGAUGUGAAAGCCCCGGGCUCAACCUGGGAACUGCAUCCAAAACUGCCUGACUAGAGUACGGUAGAGGGUGGUGGAAUUUCCUGUGUAGCGGUGAAAUGCGUAGAUAUAGGGAAGGAACACCAGUGGCGAAAGGCGACCACCCUGGACUGAUACUGACACUGAGGUGCGAAAGCGUGGGGAGCAAACAGGAUUANAUACCCUGGUAGUCCACGCCGUAAACGAUGUCNACUAGCCGUUGGGCUCCUUGA